This is a long non-coding RNA of Athalia rosae (coleseed sawfly), 1689 nucleotides long. RefSeq lists it as uncharacterized. The transcript is spliced from 2 exons. The record is from RefSeq and is a predicted model, not a curated record. Lineage: Eukaryota; Metazoa; Arthropoda; Insecta; Hymenoptera; Athaliidae.
UAAAGGAGAGGGAGUUCGUCCGACGACGCGCGGACCGAGGGGCGAGAGGAGCGAGAGGGACGGGGGCGGGAGGCCGCGCGAGUAGCUUCGAAGAGGGGAGGUACAUAAGACCCGCGACGGACGAACGGGAGCGAAACGAACCCGUCGACGGGGGGACGAGGACGAGCGACGAAGGAGGGGACGGAAAUAGUGCCAUAAAUACGAACAUUUUUCGGUGGGGUUCCCUGUUUUGACAAUCAUCCCCUCUCUACAAGAUACUUCGUCAAGGGAACCUCCUCCCCCCUCCCGUUUUCCUCCUGCAAUUUUACCAGGCACCUUCUUUUCUCCCCCUUAUAAAUAUAAUACGUACACACACACACACGCGCGCGCGCGCCCGCGCGCGUAUAUACAUUUUUCGGGCUUGUUCCGCCACCCCUCCGCCCUCCCAUUCCGCUACCCCUCUUUUUUUUACCGCUAACCACCCCUGGUUCGCCACUGGCGGAUUCGCGUUCGCCACCCCCCCCCCCCCCCCCCUUUGCGAUUCCCCGUGGAUCGCCCGUUCCUUCUCCCUGAAAAAAAAGAAACCCCCCUAUACGUGCUGUACGUAUAGAUAUUUUAUACAUUUUGCUCGUUUUGACAUUUAAUAUGAAAGUUAAGCCCACCUUAAACUUUGAAGAAUUUCGAGCCCAGGAGAGCUUGCGGUAUAUAUCGUAACAAUGGAGAAAUUGAUAAUUGAAAAUACAUAUCGAAAUGGAAGAACCGAGAACGGGAAAACAUAUAUUGGGCGGAGUACCUAUGCGAUACGUGAAAUGACAUAAAAAAAUAUACAUUAAACAAAGAGAAAGAGAGAGAGAGAGGGAGAGAGAGAGAGAAAGAGAGAGAGAGGGAAAAACAGUUAACAGCGUUUUUUUCUCCCUAUUUUUCCCCUUCUCCAAGUUUCCCUUCCGGUAUAUUAUAAAUGAAUGUUUCAAAAUCACCGGCGUUCGUGAUGGUGGUGGGCGAGUUUCGAACAUCGUCGUCAUAAGCGCGUUCAGAAAAAUUUGAAUCAAAUUAAGGUUCCUAUAGCUAACUUAUCUGUAAACUGAUAGCGGCGUAACCAAUGGAAGAAAAAAGAAAAAAUAGAAAAUAGAAAAAAAGAAAACACGAAGCAAAACUAACUUAAAAGUUUAGAGAGAGCUCCGCGUUGAAAACUUAUUUUUAUUUUUACGUUCUUUUUCCAUUUUUUUCCCCAAUUUAUUUUUCAUUUAUUAUUACUAUUAUUACAGCGAUGAUUAUUGUCGUCAUUCUUUUUUCUAUUUUUUCUUCUUUUUUUUUUUUUUUCGGUAUUUCUUUUUAUGCUCCACGAACUAUACGAGCAAAGAAUUGGUUUCUUUCAAAGAUAUUAUAAAUAUAUACACGGACACAUGCACAAAUGUUGUACAUGGAUGUUCCUAUAUAGAGUCGGAACGAGAUACAUGGAAUACAUAGGUAUACAUAUAUAAUACUGAAAAGUCACCUAGUUGGAAGGUAUAAGGCAUGAACGAGGUUACAAAUAAAUGUUACACCUAGUCGGUCAAUAAAUUUCACCGGUAAGUUGAACGCAAAAAGAUUGGGAACAAAUAAUAUUCACACCGUAUCUGUACAAUAUCUAUUUGAAUGAAAAAAAAACAGACAUGAUAAUAAAACAAGAGAAAUAAAAAAUCCGAUUAAAUUUCAUCAAAAAAAAAAAAA